Molecule: ribosomal RNA, 466 nt
Filed under: uncultured bacterium
Lineage: Bacteria
Description: partial 16S ribosomal RNA
Rfam family: Bacterial small subunit ribosomal RNA
Source: RNAcentral
GAUGAACGCUGGCGGCGUGCUUAACACAUGCAAGUCGAACGGAAAGGCUCCUGCUUGCAGGGGUACUCGAGUGGCGAACGGGUGAGUAACACGUGGGUGAUCUGCCCUGCACUUCGGGAUAAGCCUGGGAAACUGGGUCUAAUACCGGAUAGGACGAUGGUUUGGAUGCCAUUGUGGAAAGUUUUUUCGGUGUGGGAUGAGCUCGCGGCCUAUCAGCUUGUUGGUGGGGUAAUGGCCUACCAAGGCGUCGACGGGUAGCCGGCCUGAGAGGGUGUACGGCCACAUUGGGACUGAGAUACGGCCCAGACUCCUACGGGAGGCAGCAGUGGGGAAUAUUGCACAAUGGGCGCAAGCCUGAUGCAGAGACGCCGCGUGGGGGAUGACGGCCUUCGGGUUGUAAACUCCUUUCGCUAGGGACGAAGCGCAAGUGACGGUACCUGGAGAAGAAGCACCGGCUAACUACGUG